Molecule: long non-coding RNA, 1623 nt
Filed under: Acromyrmex echinatior (Panamanian leafcutter ant)
Lineage: Eukaryota; Metazoa; Arthropoda; Insecta; Hymenoptera; Formicidae
Description: uncharacterized LOC105154555
Source: RNAcentral
AAUGGCCGAUAUCAAACUCGAGACGAUUAACGGCAGGAUCAAGCUCUUGAGCAUCCGAAGGAAUAGGUCGCCGAGUUAACAACACGAGGAAAAGGAGCGAUAAAAUACCAAACUAACGAAACCUUCGGAGCGAACGAGUAACGAUGGAGAACACGAUAGUAGGAACGCGACGUGGGUGUUCGUCAUGGAUCGUUUCGUGGAUGUUUUCAUUAUUUCCAUCUCUCAUACCGAAGUUCCGGCGCGAACCUGCGCCGAUACGAAUGUCUGCACGGGGAAGAGGGAAGGAAGAUCUUGGCCUACUUCUGCGUCCUUACGGACUGACCGAUUUCGCAAUGUGAUGUUCAUCACAGGAUUAUAAAGUUCUGCAAUGAAUGAGAACUUCGAGGUAAACGAACGACGGCGACGUAUUAAUUGUCCCAGUUAAUCCGUCAAUAGCGCGACACUUGGAUGCAUAACGUCAUUCGCAGAUGCCGGAUGACACGUUGGUCUCACGUGAUCGUUGAAAAACAAUCCGGACAGAUGGGAAAAUAUCGUCCAUGAGAAUUAAUACCGGACAAUAACGAUAAAACCCAUGCCGUCCGUUUCCGGCGAUUCUAUAAUAUGUAUACUUUUGCAUUGUUCUUUUUCGCGCAGUUUUAUAUUACAGUUAAUCGACGGCGCUCACAAAUUGCACUGAGUACCGAGUUAAAGGGUAUCACCUUGCAGUGCUCGUCUCGAAUAACGUGUGCAAUUGGAACCUUUUUAAUUUAACGAGUGACGGAAAUAAAAAUUUUUAUGGUCUCUUGAACACCAAAUGGUACUAUAUAUGUAUUUCGAGUAAGACUUGAAAUCCGCGAUCGGCUGGCAGAGCCAAGAAUAUUUGCGAAGACUAUGCUAUUAAAGUGACCGCAACCGAUUAAAAUGAAUUAGAAUACGCGAAAAGAUUAGGCGUGGUUAAAAGUGGGAAUAAUAAGUAGACGCAAUUUGCUAGAAGAGAUUAGCGUGAAAGAGAGGAUUAAGCGUAUAGUUAGAAAUGGGAAUAAUAGACCCAUUACGCCGCAGCUCUCACGCUCUCAUUUUUAUUUGUCCCGAAUAUAAAGCGGAGCAAUGAACGGAUAAAUAAAUCAAUAAAAUAAAUUAAUUAAUUAAUUGAAUUUGAAUCGCAGAAUAGCACGUGGUAUUGUGCUAAACAUUCAAUGCCACAUCGUUGGCUCGAGUAAAAGUUCCAAAAUUAUCUUCGGCAAACAACUUGUUGAAUACGCUUACGUAAGAAAUUGCCCACUGAUGCAAGAUUUACGAUACAGAUAAAUCUCUUUUCUUUUCUUUCUCUCUCUCUCUCUCUUAUUUAUUUUGAAAAUCCUACGUCAUUGGACGUGAGUCUAAAAGGAUUGUUUAUAGUACUUGUAAUCUCUCUUGAUGCUUAAUAUUUCAUUCAGGAAAAAUGCACAGGGACAGGAAAAGAUAUGUACAAAGAUAGAAUUUGUUGCUUUGCAAAUAUUUGCCUCGAAUUUUGACGUCUCGGUAAGAUUAUUUCAAGUACGCCGUAACUGUCGUGCAAAAAGCUUGAGUGCGUGUCAGAAUCGCGUCUGAUUCUAAUUAUAAGAUAUUAUACAGUCAACAGAUAAAAACCUUCAUAAAAACGCA